RNAcentral lists this long non-coding RNA (13935 nucleotides) under Homo sapiens (human). Its description in RNAcentral is "HSALNT0218867". The record is from RNAcentral. Lineage: Eukaryota; Metazoa; Chordata; Mammalia; Primates; Hominidae.
GGCUGGAGUGCAGUGGUACAAUCUCAGCUCACUGCAACUUUUGCCUCCCAGAUUCAAGCGAUUUUCCUGCCUCAGCCUCCUGAGUAGCUGGGAUUCCAGGCGUGUGCCACUACAUCCAACUAAUUUUUGUAUUUUUUAGUAGAGUUGGGGUUUCGCCAUGUUGGCCAGGCUGGUCUCAAACUCAUCACCUCAGGUGAUCCACCCUCCUUGGCUUCCCAAAUUGCUGAGAUUACAGGCGUGAGCCACUGUGCCCAGGCAAGGACCAGACUUGAAGUGCCCAAAGCCCUGGGCUUGGGAAGAGAGAGUUCUUAUGUUUAAAUUUCCAAAUCUCUUUGUGUACAAGUCAAUUAUGGCACAGAAGGACGGGACUACUCACCAUUUUCCUACCAGCUCUACCAUUUUACUCAGUUAUCCCUUAGCUCUUGGUGGGUAAAUGUGGUGAGUGACUCACAAACAUUGUACUCCUCUUCAAAGAACUGAAGCAAUACUUUUAUGGAAUUGAUCUCAGUGGGCAGGGGUAGGCAUAUUGGUUAAGGGUAAACACCUCCUCCCCUUUUUCCCACUUCCCUGCCAGUGACUGAUUUAGGAAUUGGCAUGUGAUUCAAAUCUGACGAGGUUUGCUGAAGGCUUCCGGGAAAAGUCCUUUGUUGCUUUUAAGGAAGAGCCAUGUGAAAUCAGGCUUUCUCCAUCUCUUUUGGAUACCAACAAGAAUGCCGAUAAGUGCUGUUUGGUGCUAUUGGCCACUGGGGAGCCAAGUUUAGUGUGAAACCAGUGUUGGAGGAGGAAGAACAAAAGCAUAGAAAGAACUCGUAUGUCAGGUCACAUUUUUGAGCUGCUAAAUCUCUCAACUCUUAAGGGAAUCCUACUUCUAGAUUUCUUUGGUUAUGUGCUUAUUAUUUAAGCCAAGUUGUUGUUUUCUAUUUCUUAGAACCGUAGACAUCAUAACGGCCCCUUUCCCUGUGUUUGGAUGGCCUUUUCACUCAUGCUUUGAUUAAACCUCUUCUUAUUCCUUUAGAAUAAGAGAAGUAAGGAUAGGUCAUAGGAUAAACACAUUGUAAAGGCUCUUCACCUAUAUUACUAAGAUGCUUUCCAGAAAAUUUGCACCAUUUACUGUCCUGCCCAUGGCAUGAGGCAGCCCUUCCCCCUAUCUCUUUGCCUGCAGCCACCCUAGUUCCACACACUCUUAACUGCAGGCUGGUAAGGGUGAGCGUUAUUUCCGAUUUUAUUGUGUCUUUGUAUCCCUCUUUUGGGUAACUUUGAGAUGUAGUCCAGCAGGUUCAUAAAGAAAAGAAUAACCAGGAUGGAUGGAUUCCAGUGAAGGGGCAGGGGCAUUGACCUGCUAGGAAACCAAGGGUAUGGAGGAAAGAAGAUGGGAAAAGGAGAUGGUGAGGUCUCACACUGGGCCGAAAGAUGGAAAUGGGGAAGAUUAGCAAGGUAGGAAGGUGAGGACAUGGAGAACAGGCUCUUAACAUGUAAUAAUGAUAAAUCCCCAAAAGCCGUCUUUGGCAAAAGUCUUUUUCAUACUCUGGACGAUAGGUGCAGGCUACUGCAGUGUUGCUGAUGGGGAGGACUGUAUUUGGGAGCAGCCUCUCUGGCUCCACCAAUGUUUAUCCUUUAUCAUCUUAGUAAAAAAUGCCACCUUAUGGGGCAUCCUAAAUAUGGUCUGGUUUGGGUUUCAGCGUGGAAGCUUUUUCAAGUGUUUGCCAUUUUGCAGGAAGGCCACGCACCCAAAGGCAGCCUUACAGAUCGGGGUGGUGGGGGGACUGGAAAGUCACCUGUGAUUUAAUUUGAUGAGUCCAAACCAUACCUCUUGCCUCUCAGUUUCUUCUCUCUCUACCCAUGCUUGAAAUUCCUCCAGAAAUGAAAUCACAGAAUUUUUAAGCCAGAAAGAGCCAUCUAGUUCAACCACUCAGUUAAUAGAUGAAGUCGGUUCAAAGAGGUGAAGCAACUUGAAACAGGUCCUGGAGACUGUUGGUGGUGGAAGUCCAGAAGACAGCACAGGUUUUACAGAACUGGAAGCAAUCUGGCCUCUCAGGUUUCAUCAACUCAUCUGGCUGGCACCAACCAGAGUGAGGUGUUUAAUUGUUCGACCCACAACGGAGGGGCCCACAGAGCACGUUGUUAUGUACAGGGUCCACACAGGUCAUUAAAGGACUGAAAAAGGUAUAGACAUGUUAGUUUGCAGAAGAAGAGAAUGUGGGCUGGGCGCAGUGGCUCACACCUGUAAUCCCAGCACUUUGGAAGGCCAAGGCAGGUGGAUCACUUGAAGUCAGGAGUUUGAGACUAGGCUGGCCAACAUGGUGAAACCCUGUCUCUGCUAAAAAUACAAAAACUAGCCAGGCAUGGUGGCGGGUGCCUGUAAUCCCAGCUACUCAUGAGGCUGAGUAUGAGAAUCGCUUGAACCCGGAAGGCGGAGGCUGCAGAGAGCUGAGCUCACGCCAUUGCACUCUGGCCCGGGCUACAGGAUGGGACUCCAUUUCCAAAAAAAAAAAAAAAAAAAAAAAAGAAGAGAGAAUGUUCCUUAAUUCUUUUCCUGUUUUUUUUUUUUUUUUUUUUUUUGAGAUUAUAAAGGUUUUGAUCUUGUUAUUUUCACAAAGGAUGUAGAGCAGUAGCAGUAUCUUUGGAAAUAAUGAAGGAUUUCCUAAAAGCGAGGAUUGUAACACAUUGGAAUGUUACUGAGAUAGGUUGUGAAAUAUUUCCUGGGUGUCUUCACCAAUAAUAUGGACUAGGCAGUUCAUCUGGAAUCCUGGGCUAGGUGUGGUCUCACCCAGUAACUUGGAGAUUCAUUGAGAGACUUCCAGAAGUUUCUGACAAUAAAUAAGAAAGUCUAUGAGUCUGCAAAUCUGUGAAAUAAUGGAGUUUCCAGGACUUCCAUGACAGAGUCUACUUCUGAUUCUAAUUAAAGGCAUUCCUCCUAAAGAAUUUAAUUUUUCUGAGGUUCAACUGGUACUUCAAGCCACCCAUUUGCGAAUUAUAAUUUUUCAACUUUUCUGAACAGUCUUAACAUGUGCAGUACAGAUUAGGUGAUAUUUUCAAGUUUUCUGCUAUUCUUUUUUCCUUGGAAGAAAAUUAUGAGUGUCAGUCAGUUAAAAGACAAGCAAACAUAAAGAAAAUCAACUCUUGCUGGAAAGUGUUGGAAUUGUACAAAAGAUUUUGAAGAUUGAACAUGACAUGGAGCUUGGCAUGGGAUUGUGGUCUGGGUGAAAGGCUCACAUGCCACUGGAAAACAUGGACAGCAACCAAAUGGCUGGCCCGCUGGGCAUUCGCUUGAAGUGAUAGCCAUCUCUUGGGAGGUUGCUUUUUUCCCUUUUUCCUUUUUUUAAGAGGUGAGAUCAUGACAACUUGCAUUUUGCAGAACUGAGCCAAAAGAAAUUGUCACUCUUUCUAAUUUAAGAGGAUGAGUGUAUAGUCUGAAAAAAAGCUUUUAAUUUUAUUAUGACAGCAAAGAUAAACACUGCUGCUUCCUAGGGAAGAGGAGUUCACGAGUAAACUUUCUCUUUUUUCUUUUAUCUCUCUCUAUCAGCUUACGUUUUCUUCUUUGCUCUUUUCCCUCCCCUUCCCUUUUUCUCUUUCACUUGAUCUCUUUCUCUUCUUUCUCUUCUUCCUCUGUGUCUCUUCCUCCCCCUUCUUAUUCCCCUCCUCCUACCCCUCUUCUUUCUGUCUUCCUUCUUCUUUUUUACAUUCUUCUUCUCCAUGUUCUCCUUCUUCCUCCUCCUUUUCAUCAUCAUCCUUUCUCUUACCUUUCUCCUUCCUCUUUUUCUUUCUCUUCUCCUUCCCUCUCUCCUUUUCCUUAGGGUGGUAGUGAGGAUGAAAGCAGUAAUCCGUGUGAAGCACUUAGCUCAUGGUUAUUCAAUGAGCUAGUGUCCACUUGCUUGAGUUCAAAGUCCUGUCUUUGCUCAGAACUCUAAUCCCUCCCUCCAUCCCUCUUUGUCCCAAGACUUGAAGGCAGAGGGCAUCUGUGUGAUUUACUCUUCCUGUUUCCUUUGCCAGUUUGUCCAUCCUGCCCUAAGGCAUGGCGCUCAGUGCCUUGAGCCUCAUUGCCUUGCUGGACCCAGAAGCUUGGGGACUGGAAUCCAUGGGAAGAUGUGUGGGAGGAAGGCAGAGGUGGGAUUACCAAGAAGCUGUAGAGGCUUAGGUGUCAGGGUCCCUCACAUGCCUGGGUUCCUUCCCAGGCCCUAGAGAGGCCCUAGUGAUGCGUUCAUGUGGUCAUGUUUGGCAACAUUUGCACAAGUAAGACAUGUUAGCUACAACUGCUUACAUCCUCUGACUUUUCCAUUUUAACUUGCCUCAGUCACACUUCUCUGUUAGAGAGUUAGAGUGACUACAGGCAAUUUUUGGAUCUGGCUCAGGGGACAGGUUGUGAAGAUAUAUCUGUGUGGUUUGCAGUCACUGUGUGAGGUAACGGCUAGCCCUCCUUGUGUUGGAAUGGCUUCCAUUCAUCUUCCUAUCGCCCACCUGCUGUCCUGACCUGAAGAUGUAGUGCUAGAGGUCUUAUCAUGAUGGUCAUGUCAACCUACAGUGGCUUCCCCUGGAUGCAUGUGGGUCAUACAGGAGAGACAAGGUUUGAAAUAUACAUGGCAUAGUCAGAAGGCAGUCCGUGGACCAGUGCUACACAAAGAACUAUCUAAUACAUUUAUUUUGAGAUUUUUUUCCCUUAGAUUUUGUGAUAUUUGUUACUUUGUGUUUUAGUUUGAUGAAACUUCUCUUUUUAAAUAAAUAUUUAUUUCUACCUAAUUUUAAAACAAUUUUUUUUGAGAUGGAGUCUCGCUUUGUCUCCCAGGCUGGAGUGCAGUGGUGCAAUCUCAGCUCACUAUAACCUCCGCCUCCCGGGUUCAAGGAAUUCUCCUGCCUGAGUAGCUGGGAUUACAGGUGUGUGCCACCAUACUUGGCUAAUUUUUUGUAUUUUUAGUAGAGACAGGGUUUCACCAUGUUGGUCAGGCUGAUCUAGAACUUCCGACCUUAUGAUCCGCCUGCCUCGGCCUCCCAAAGUGCUGGGAUUACAGGCGUGAGCCACCGCACCCAGUAGAAUUAAUAAUUUAAUAUUAUUUUUUGAAAAUAAGAAACCCUAAAUUGUAUACGUUUCAGUCCCAUCCGAUGUGAAUCCUCCCCUGGAAGUAGGGGAAAAGAGAGAGAAUGAGGAGGCAGAGAGCUUGGGAGUACUGGGGAGCACCACCCGGGGCCAUAGUAGAGGCAGGAGUGUGAAGAGGCAGGCGAAACAGGGUGCGCAGGAUUUUAAUCUUUUGCUGCCUGUGCUUACGUGUGUGUGGUUGGCAUUAAUGGUGUGGGGAACACAGUAGACCAGACACUUGUACACAUAUUAGAGAAUAAAUUAAGCCAGAGGUGGAAAAGGAACAUAACUUAGUGGUGCUAAUUAUUAAAAUAACAUACAUGAAUUGCUUACAUCUGAUACCUUGCUUUAUGUGGCAGAAUAAUUAUGUACACUAAUUAAUUUUUCAGACAAACCUAAGUUUUAUUUAACUGCAAUCUCAGAUGUUCUCUAAGUGUAAUAAUCUUGCAAAGUUAGGAGUAUGCAUUCCAACAACUAAGCUUUAACGAGUUCAAGGUUUCAGUAGCUCAAAUUAUGUGCCUUCAGUGUGUGUGUGUGUGAGAACAUUCUAUUCUGAAAUGCUCCUCACUGUUAAGAAUAAAUGGACCCUCCACCUUUAAGUGAGUAGAGUUGGGAGUUAACUUUAGGCAAACUACCUCUCUUUUAGCAGUUUGGAAAACGUAUGGUGUUACAUAUACCCUGUGGGAUAGGUCAUUAUUUCUCUUCUAGUAUAAGUCAGUCUUUGUCUGUUUAAAUAUGUGAAAUUUCCUUUAUGUAUUAUUAUUAUUUAAAUGUACACCAUGGGUAUUUUUCUUUUAUGCUUUCCCUUAAAUUCGUAUGCUGAAAAUUGUAUAAACUAUGUAUUACAGUCCUUCAGAAAUCAUUUAUGAAGGGUUUACAAUGUGCCAGAGACACCCCAAGUGUCCACCAGCCUCAUGAGGGAUGCUGAUAAUGAGGCUGGGCCAUGAGGGGUAAUGCAGAUGUGUGGAAAUGCUAAGGAAGAUCUAUGGUCUAGCUGGCAUGGUUGUGUGUGUGGGGUUGAGGGCAGAGAGGUCACAAAAGGUUUCCUUGAAAAGGUAGUGUCUGAGCUGAGUCUUGAAAGACUCCAUUCAGAAAGGCUUAGACCUUUGGAUACAGAAGAAAGACCAUUUAAUAGUGUUCACAUUCACAACCACCAUUUUUGUUUCCACUAAGCCCUCUUAUGAUCUGGGCAAGAGGAUCUGACCAGUCACAAGGGCCCCAGAGAAGAACAUCGGUGUUUUAAUUCUCCCAAGUAUAUUUUGGAAGGAUGGCUCUUUCAGCCCCUUCUUGCCUUCUCUUGCCUUCUGUGUUAAGAUAAUAGUGCAGAGCCAGGAAUGCAAUCCACCAAAGCCAGUAAUUAACUUUCUCUUUGGAUGGGGAGAGUGAAUUCUAAUUUCCUGGCUGAUGAAAUUUUCUGUGGGUUGUUCUGCCUGGUGUCUUCUUUGUUGGCCAUUUUGCCAAAUAGAUGCCAAUUUCCUCAGCUUUAAUUAGUCCAGAUGUCAGAAGCUCAAAUCAUAGUAUCUUCAAUGUGUGUGUUUGUCAACAUCCUGCUUUUAAAUGCUCCGGGCUUCUUCCUGUAUAUUUCUUUUAGCACAGUGCCUUGAACCUGAUAGAUACACAGUCUGUUGUGAAUGAAGGAGUAUAGGAAUGAAUGAAUUAAUAUCCAUGAUGAGCUUUAUUUACAUGAGUGAACCUCAAAGCCUGAGGAUCAUAUAAGAAAUAGUUAAAUGAUUUUCUUUUUUUUCUUGAUCUACUUAAUUACGCUAAACUUCCUCUCCUCCACCCCCCAAAAAAACUCCACUCAAAAACACUUUAAAUUCCAAAGAAAGGGAGCUUAAGAAAUAGUUCUUAAUCUAUUUUUAAGCUCACAGGGGUUUUAAGACUAAUUCUCUGUGAAAAUGCGUCUAAUUGAGAAAACAUGCUUGGUUGAGGGAUGAGAACAGCAUGCAUUUUCUUUGAACAGUUUAGGUUUUAACACACAAAAAAAACUCAAAGGAAAACAACAAUAACAACAACAAACCUACAACCAUAGAUAUGACUGGGUGGCAAACACAGAAAAGUGAAUUACCCUGGAUGACACCCACAACCAAACAGCAGCGCCUCUCUCCUGUCUAGCCUGGUCUGGUUAGGCUGGGAGAUCUUGUUUUCCUCUCCAUACCCCUACCAGAGAGGCCUCCCUAGCAACCUAAAAAGAUGCCGACCUAAAGCCUAGCUGAACUGUAGUCUGAAACAGAGAAAAACAUGCUGAACUGACCCUGUAGUGACUCACUGCCGAGUCUGGGGGAUAGGUCACUCUGCAAGCCCACCUGGGCUCCAGCGUGUCUUUAAUGAAGACCUGGCUGUGCAGCUUUUUCCUGAUGUUGUCUCCGCCACCUUGGGAUAUGGGUUUAAACAGAAAUGGAAAAUUGUUCUCUCCAGGCUGAGGAUUGUUACAGGGGUUAUUUUAAAACAUCCUUUUGGGGGUAGGGAUAAAAAUGGAUGUGGCCUGGAGCAAUCUUUUCUCUCUAGGACUAUUUCUUCAUCUGUGUUAGAUGAUUGCUACAGUCCCUUCUAGUUCCAACAUGAUAUGACUCUCUAAUUCUCCCUGCUAUAGGUAUAGAGAUGUCUAAAUUAGGCAGGUCAGCUGGUCAACCUGUGAUUCCCUGGUUUUAUGAGAGAGGAGAUCACUAUACCAUAACAUAUCUUGCAUAUGCUUUCUGAAAAUCUAAGGAUUGGUAACUGUAUCAGGUGUCUUGGCUGCAAAGAUGAAUUCUGGCUAGUUUAAGCAGAAAAGGGAUUUAUUACAAGAAUUAUCUGUGAGGUAACACAGAAUCUCCAAAAGACAGAGAACCAGUUGAAAUAAUGACAUUUGGCCAAACCCCAUCCAACGCUGAUCCUAUGAGGACACUACUCAGUUUAUAGGUAUAAACGGAGCAUUUGUUGAAGUCUCCUGAGUGUUGCUACGUAAGCAACCCUCCAGUGUACAUUCUCUAUUAAGGUAAUUGGCUGCCCUUAGCAUUGAAGCUGGCAUACAGAUGAUAUCACAUUGUCUAUGCUGAAAUAUGCAAAGAAAUACAGAUACUGCAAAAAAGAGCCCAAUUAUAUGAGUCCUUUCCUCCCAGGAUAAAAGCCAAAAACAUACUUCACCAGCCUCCCUUGCUAUUAGGCUCAGUCAAUCAGAUGCCCUUGCACCUGACUGAUUAUGGAGCUAGUGAUGUAAGGAAGUGAGUGAGACAAUAGCAAAGACAUGGAACCAAUCUAGGUGCCCAUCAAUGGUGGAUUGGAUAAAGAAAAUGUGGUACACAUAUACCAUAGAAUACUAUGCAACCAUGAAAAGGAACAAAAUCAUGUCCUUUGCAGCAACAUGAAUGCAGCUGGAGGCUGAUAUUCUGAGUGAAUUAAUGCAGGAACAGAAAACCAUAUACCACAUAUUCUCACUUAUAAGUGGGGGCUAAAUAUUUGGUACACAUGGACAUAGAGAUGGCAACAAUAGGCACUGGGUACUACUAGCGGGGGAAGAGAAGGAGGGGAGUAAGGGACUGAAAAACGACCUAUUGGGUACUAUGCUCCCUAUCUCAGUGAUGGAUUCAUUCAUACCUCAAACCUCAGCGUCACACAAUAUACCCAGGUAACAAACCUGCACGUGAACCCCCACAUCUAAAAGAAAAGUUGAAAUUAUAUUAAAAAAGAAGAGAAGUGUAUGAGACUUUGCUAAUUAGCAUAGUGAAUAUCCGAAAGGAGUUUUCACUGUGGAAACUAGUGACAUUAAUUAGCAAAAUGAACAUUAGAUAUGGGAUAUCAUUAUAAUAAAAAAAACAAUAUUUAGGAUACUGGUAUGGGCUGAAUUGUGUCCCUGCUACCAAUUCAUAUGUUUAAGCCCUAAGCGCCAGUACCUCAGAAUGUGACUAUAUUUAAAGAUAGGAUUUUUGAAGAGGUGAUUACAUUAAAAUGAGGCCAUUAUUGUGGCCCUAAUCCAAUCUGACUGAAGUCCUUAUAAGAUGAGGGGAUUUGGACACUCAGGGACACCAGGGAUGUGCAUGUACAGAGAAAAGGCCAUGUGAGGACUCAGUGAGAAGAUGACCAUCUGCAAAACAAGGGGAGAGACCUCAGGAGAAACCAAGCCUGCCAACACCUGGAUCUUAGCAUUCCAGCCUCCAGCACUCUGGGAAAAUAAAUUUCUAUUGUUACCAGCCUGUGGUCCCUCACAAACUAAUACUGCUACCUCGAUUGGCUAAAAUAUUAGAGCCCUUCCUGUUUUUAAUGAAGAGGGUAUAAGGCUCCAGCAAAGACUGCAGCCUUUUUCUUAGGGAUAGUGCCUGAGACUUGAUCGCUAACUGGCCCAGUGUCCACCCACUUAGUUGGAGAAUUCCAAGUUGCCCGGCAUGGCCUAGGAACCUUCCAGAAUCCUGCCUCGGGCAUGUUGCCAUGUCUGCCUUGAGAAAAUGUUUCAGUCAAGGUGGUGCUGAGAGCCCCUAAAAGGACAGAAAAUGGGACUUCUUUGAGCUAACCAAACGUGUUGUAUGAAUUGUUAAUAAGCAAUUGUAAAGUAAAUGUCUGUAUAUGGAGCAAAAAAUUGGUUUAAGACUUGGUUUCCGUAUUUGGUAGUGUGAUAACGGGCAUGCCUCGCCUCAUGUGUGGCCACACUGGUUUGGGUCAGUUCAUGGCGGGUGUUCACCAGUGCUGAGCAGCCAUUACAAUGACAAGUCUCUAUCUUAGUGACCAAAUGGGGACAUGAACUCCAUGACAAAUCUCAGGCCUUAGUUUUCUGUGACCCAAAUAAUGGCCUCUAUGUCAACUUUUAAAUGAGGUUGUCCUUUCAAUUAAGCCCUUAUUUAUGUUUUUCUUUCCUUUGGAAUUGAGAUUCUCAAAAUAUGUGCCACAAAACAUUCUCAAAAAUAGCUUUCUGUGAUUAAAUAAGUUUGGGAAACAGUUAAAUGCCCUCUCUCCUUUCUUGGAGAUACAGAACCUAUUAGCAUCACAUUAAAGAUCUGGAGAAGUCGGCCGGGCGCGGUAGCUCAUGCCUGUAAUCCUAGCACUUUGGGAGGCUGAGGCAGGUGGAUCACCUGAGGAGUUUGAGAACAGCUUGGCCAACAUGGUGAAACCCCAUCUCUACUAAAAAUACAAAAAUUAGCCAGGCAUGAUGGUGCGGACCUGUAAUCUCAACUACUACUUGAGAGGCUGAGGCAGGAGAAUCACUUGAACCUGGGAGGUGGAGGUUGCAGUGAGCUGAGAUUGCACCACUGCACUCCAGCCUGGGUAACAGAGCAAGACUCCAUCUCAAACAAAACAAAACAAAACAAAACAAAAAAGCAUCAACAACAAAAAGAUCUAGAGAAGUCUAUAGUAAAGAAACCUGUUCAAAUUUACUUAACCUAGCAUUACUCACGUGACCACAGAUCAUUUUUCCCCUUUUGGAGUACGCUGUUAAGUGGGGGGCUGGGAAUGGGUGGAAAUGGUUAAUGGGUACACAAAAUAGAAAGAAUGAAUAAGACAACGGGUGAAUAUAGUCAAUAACUUAACUGUACAUUUUAAAAUAAUGUAUGGAGUGUAACUGAAUUGUUUGCACUCAACGGAUAAACGCUUGAGGGGACGGAUAACCCAGUUGCCAUGGUAUGCUUAUUUUACAUUGCAUGCCUGUUUCAAAACAUCUCAUGUACUCCAUAAAUAUAUACACCUACUAUGUGCCUACAAUAAUUUUUUAAAAGAAAUAAAAUUUGCAAAAAAAAGAGAGAAUACCUGUUAAUAUCCCAAGGAACUGUUGUUCUGCGGGACACUCUUAUUUAUUUAUUUAUUUAUUUUUUGAGACGGAGUCUCACUCUGUCACCCAGGCUGGAGUGCAGUGGCGCGAUCUCAGCUCACUGCAACCUCCUGGGUUCACUCCAUUCUCCUGCCUUAGCCUCCCUAGUAGCUGGGACUACAGGCGCCCGCCACCACACCCUGCUAAUUUUUUGUAUUUUUUAGUAGAGACGGGGUUUCACCAUGUUAGCCAGGAUGGUCUCGAUCUCCUGACCUCGUGAUCCGGCUGCCUUGGCCUCCCAAAGUGCUGGGAUUACAGGCGUAAGCCACCGCACCCGGCCUCUGCGGGACACUCUUAUCUAAAAUGUGGUUCUAGAAGGGUAUUUGUGCCUGUGAUUAGAUUUGCCCCUUUUCUUUUUCACACAAUGUCUUUCACUAUUCAAACAUGCAGUCAAGUUGAGCUCAGCAAGACAUAGUUUUAAAUCUAUGUGAAAUAAGUAAUUGAUGAAAUGACUCAUAUGCCAUCUCCUUUGAUUCAGUGGUUUUUCUUUGAGUGGCCAAGAGCUUGCUUGGGAGUCACACAAUGUGCGAUGUAUCAGAACCCGGGAAGACAUCCCUGCAGGCAUGCUGGAAAGGUUGGUCUCAGGCUGGUUAAUGACUUCAAAUGGCAAUCCCAGGCUCUACAUGCAGUAAUCCUACUCCUAGUUGUUUAAAUUCAAACACUUAUUCUCUUAAAUACUCAUUAUUUUCUAAAAUUCAAAUGAAAUAAAGUAAAAGUAUAUAAAAUUAAAAUGGCACAAGCCAGAAAUUUCUGGAUGCAGAUAAGACAAGAAAAACAAUGAGCGAAACCCUCUUCAUUGUUCCAAAGGCAGGGGCACACAUUUGGAAUUGUCCUUGAAGAUGGGCACCCGUUCAGUAUUGGGAAAAUCCUGGGCUGGCAAAGGGUAGUUGCAUUUGAAGUGAGAAAUGUGUUCCAAAGAAAAGACAAAGAAUAGCCAUUUCUAGACAAUGCUGUAGCUAAGGCUUAUAUAAACCAUGAGGGGUAGGGUGGCAUUUAAGGAUGUUUCCAUGCCAGAUUUCUCCUCAGGAGUGUGUGCCUUACUUUGAUACACCGAAGCAUUAGCAAAACCCCAAGCAAACAGCUGUCUUCAGAGUCCUAAUUGUGGGUCUCCCAUGAUAGGACAGUAUGAAAAACAGCAAGAGAAAAAACAUCCUUCUCUAGGAUCAUGUUUUAAAUAUGUAUAGAUACAUGUGUCUGUGUGUAUAAUUGUAUGUUUAAUUUGUAGAUCAUGACUACAAUGUGUUUUAUUCUCCUCUUGGGAACACGCAUCAACCUACUUCUCUCUCAUAUACAUAAAUGCCAUCAGGGCAACUACUCAAGCAGAAUCCUAGCAGCCACCCCGAUUGCUGCUGCUUCUCCACCUGCUACACUCAGUCUAUCAGCAGCUGCUGUUGCCUGCAAAGUGACCCCAGAUCCACUCAUUUCUAUUUCCAUUGUUAUGACCUAGCCCAAGAUACCAACACCUCAUGUAGAUCACUGCAGUUCCUGUUAAUUUGUCAUUCUGUAAUGGCAGAACCAAUUCAACGUUGUCAGUAACAAAAUGAUGAGUUUUUCAGUGCAAGGGACCCCCAGGUUGCUGGUCACAUUACCUGAGCAUGCCCAAAUGAACUAAGGGUACCUGAUUCAGGACCCUGGAGCCAGCUGGAAUAAAAAAGUCAAUGAUGUGUGGAACCCAAGUGCUUGGAUCAAGGAGCAAGGGCCAAAUUAAGAAGCAAGGGGUGCCCUGUUUUGCUGCCGUAUGGACUUAACCAAAGACCUGGCGUGACUUCUUUGCAUGAUCCAAUCAGAUCAUGCCUUGUUUCAUUUUCCUGUCCCUUGCAUUGUUGCUGUUUGCCUGGAAAACCUGCUCUCAAACCCUUGUUCAGGAAGACAGAUUUGAGUGUUGGCUCCUGUCUCCUUGGCAGUUGACUUGCAAUAAAGCCCUUUCUUUUCUCAAAAGCUGGUGCCAUAGUACUGACUUCUGUGUACCUUAGGCAGUGAGGCCAUUGUUUGGCAACAUUCCUGCUGAUGAUUUUGGGUAAAACAGUUACUCUCUUGAUUCAAUUUGCUUCUGGUAAAAUAGGGGUAAUAAUAGUUUCUACUUCCUAGGAUAGCAGUGAGGUUUAAAUGAGAAAAGGAUAUCCAAUAUUUAGCAGAAUGCCAGGGCUAUGGUGAGUUCUCAACAAAUAUUAAUAUUUUUUACCACUACUGCAAUAUAUCCUCAAUUCCAAGGAGUAUUUCCAUUGGAGAUUUUAAUGUCAAUAGUGAAAUCUCUUGAGCAUGUGCUAUAAAAUACCUUAUUUUUCUGUGUAGCUAAUACGAUAUUAAAUGCCAUGAUUGUAUGUUUACAGACUGUUAGUUCACUGACAUAUUUUGGGGAUUCAUGCGAGAAUUUCUAUAACUGAAGUUUAGGGAUGACAAAUGCUAAAUAUACAUAAAGUAUCACUCCUAAAAUGUUAUCGUCUUUCACUGGGGAGUAGUAACUAACUCAUAUAUUGACUUUUGCACAGGCAGAAGCCAGGUUGAGGAUUAGAGGAGUUUAUAUAAAAAGAUUAAGACAAACUGGAGAACUGAGAAUUAAGAGCAUCUUCCAAAUGCUACUCACUAUGCCUCUAUGCAUCUUUAUUAUAAAUUUAGGAUUCUGAGGCUAAUGAGAUUCCAAGAUCCCAAUUCAGAAGUCUCACGAUAGGACUGAAUUCACAAAGCAGCAUCUACUUAUUGGAAGAGUCUAUUAGUUCUAUAAGGGACUAUUAUAACAUUAUCUUGACAAAUUCCAGGGUUAGGAAAUUGCAAAUUACAUGCUUAUCAGUUAAACUCUGAAUCUUGUAAGGCUGCCCACGUUUUGAAGAUCUGAUAAUCAGAUUGUUGUUCUCCUACAGUCCAGAUACGUUCUGAGAGUUGUGUCCUUCCUUAGGCGAUUUCAUCUUUGUGUGAACAUCAUAGAGUGAACUUACACACACCUGGAUGGUAUAGGCUAUUACAUGCCUAGGCUAUAUGGUAUAGCCUAUUGUUCCUGAGCUACAAACAAGUACAGCAUGUUACUGUACUGAAUAUUGUAGGAAAUUGUAACACAAUGGUAAGUAUUUGUGUAGCUAAACAUAUCUAAUCUUAG